AGAAGUUGAAGCCUAUUUUUUGAAGAAGGUGUCCGGUCCUCGAGAUCCAUGACGAUGUCUAUUUGUAUCCUAUAAUGGGAUCCCCUCCCUUUGUUCAGUCAAAACUCUAUUGAGUCGAUGUAAUAAACUGCCACUUCCACGCAGUGUCAACAAUACGAUCACAAUGGAGAUCUAUAUAUAUCCGUGUAUCUUCUCUCUUUGCGCUUGAUCUCUGUGGUUGGUUCGGUGUUCUCUCCGUCAUAGCUGGGAUAUAUAACUUCAUACAACUGAAGAUCCACUCUACAGAUCCCAUCCGUGUGGAGCAUUGCAGGAAAAGAAAUUGGAAUCUCUACACCUGUUAUACGUAGAGAACAUCAUACACACUUUGACAGAGCUUCAUCUUUCUCGCCGGAAAGUUUCCACCCUGGUCCGUCGCGUAGAUCUCUGCCUAUAUAAAUAAGAACACUAUGUAUGUGCAUAUAUUCAUCAAGAUUAAUGCAUCCACUGCAUAAACUCGUAGGUGAUGUUCCCUACGAAUGACGAACAGUUAACUGCGCUUCCUACCUCAUGCAAUGGAAAUCUCCAACCUAACUCGUCCAGAAGAUCCCUACGUUGUUCGUAUGAAGAGGAUCAGAGGAAGAGAAUACUAUCACUCGGAUCGACUCGGUACGCGCAUACUCUCUCAUUCUCUCUCGCUGAUUUUCUCUCAAAACAUUCUUGAGAUGACUAUCUGCAUGCGGGAGACGGAUGCCCUAGGAAAUCAAAAUGCAGAAGCGGAAUCAAAGAUCAUCGCGUACCUCAAAAUAAAGGAACCGCGAGGAAGCGGCCGGCAUCACCGCACGCCAUUCCCGCAUCGAUCCGGAGCUCUUCUCCGCCCUCCGCCUGUGAGGGAGAGCCUCUCCCGGAGAGGGGACCAAACAGCCAGCCAUCCUCUCCGGACUCCCUCGCAUUAUUAAAUCCCAUCUAAAAAAUGGUCCACGACCUGGGGUGGAAGGGAUUAAUUAAUAAAAAUACUAUUUAUUAACAUUGAG
This 1010-nucleotide long non-coding RNA is filed under the name Spirodela polyrhiza (greater duckweed). RNAcentral describes it as "long non-coding RNA (SPOL_LNC000574)". Lineage: Eukaryota; Viridiplantae; Streptophyta; Magnoliopsida; Alismatales; Araceae. The record is from RNAcentral.